GCCUUUGUGGUGUAACGGUAGCACACUCGACACGCAUUCGAAAGGUCCAGGUUCGAAUCUCGGAGAGGGCA
Non-coding RNA from Stegodyphus mimosarum, 71 nucleotides. The record is from Rfam. Lineage: Eukaryota; Metazoa; Arthropoda; Arachnida; Araneae; Eresidae.